AUUGAUGAUAAAAAGAUUGUGGGGGCUGCUUUGUUAGACUUCAGUGCGGCUUUUGACGUUAUUGAUCAUAGUCUGCUGCUGGAAAAACUGACCUGCUCAAAGGGUUCCAGGACUCUGCACACCUCCACCACCACCUCCCAUUCCUCUUGGGUCAGAGCAUCAACAGGUGCAUUGACAAUGGCCAGGGUAGAGAUGAUGGCAUCCUUUGACUCAAGAAACCGCUUCAACAUAUAAAAUGUUGAAUUCCACCUUGUAGUGCAGUCUUGUUUAGGCCUCAGCUCAGGCAUCCCCAUCUGGCGUUGUGUAGACUUUAGUUUUUCAGCACAUACUGUGCUCCUGUGGAAGUAUUCCACGGCUUUCACUUUAUCCACAGUGGGCUUCAUCACCUUCAGAGCAUCUCUUACAAUCAGGUGUAUUGUGUGGGCAAGACAUGGAUGAUGGGUCCAUUUUAACAUUUUCAUGGCUUUGGUUAUGUUAGCUGCAUAACCAAAUGCAUCCAAAUGCUACUGUGCAUCCGACUCAUUUUCCAGCUGUUGUUUUCACAGCUGUCCUUCCUCUCUCUCCUCGCUGCUAAAUGUGUGACUGUGAGUGAGUUGGCUCAGCCCUCCCUCACGCUUCUUUGGUUCAUUGGUUGACACUGAGUGUCUGAUUGACAGGAACAACAGGUGAGGCUGUUAGUCUGAGCAGACAGUCAGAACGAAUGUGUGUGUUUGAGCAUUUAGGCCAAAUAUUAUAUUCUUUUUUUGUUCUUUGAAUUAGUUAAUUAUAUUCAUUUAAAUCUUUUGAUUAUUCAUAUCUUCAUUUUUAAAUAUUUUUAUAAAAGAUUUGGCUCCUCUGAUAUGCGAGCCGGCUCCCAACGUUCACCUACAAGAGCCGGCUCUUAGAGCCGACUCGUUCGUGAACGACCCAUCACUAAUGUAAAUACGUGCUGUUUCAGCUGCCAGUACCGCUUCUGUUGGAUCUGCUUACAGUCCAGUGAGGACUGCAGGAAAUAUGAGGAGCUGUACUGGUCUCUGUUCUGCAGUAGGCAGGCAGGUGUUCACCACGUAGUACUUGUUAGUGGCGAGAUCACUCUGGAUUUCUUACAUACUCUUAUUUGAUUUCUUUAUCCUGCUCUAGAGCUAAAACAAUUUAAGCUAUGAACACGAAUCCAUCUUUAAAACAUAUACAUUUUUGAUAGCAUUUAUACUUUUUGAAAUACAUUUUUUGAAAUAAUCUCCAGUGGAUUUCAAUGGCAAUAAAAGGGGCCAUAAACUUUAAUGGAAAAAACAAAUGUUCUCCUCUUUUUCUGUUUAAGCUAUAAACACCUAGUCUGGCUGAUACCAACCUCAAAGUCCUCCUGACUUCUCUGGAAAGGAUGUUUGAUGUUGUCGGCACGAGGCUCAGCCAUGCAAGCCCCCCCCCCCCUGAAAAAGUCAAGGGGUGUGAAUACUUUGAAGGAACUGUAAAAUCCUUAACUAAAGCUGAAUCCUACAUGUACAAAUUACCUCGAUUAACCUGUACCCCCGCACAUUGACUGAAUACCGACCGGUACCCCGCUGGGUGCUGCAGCGGUCUAAGGCACUGCAUCUCAGUGCUAGAGGCGUCACUAAAGACCCUGGUUAGAUUCCAGGCUUAUCAAAACUGGCCAUGAUUGGGAGUUCCAUUGGCCCAGCGUCGUUAAGGUUUGGUUGGGAUAGGCCGUCAUUGUAAAUAAGAAUGUGUUCUUAACUGGACUUGCCUAGUUAAAUAAAGGUUAAAUAAAUAAAAA
Long non-coding RNA from Oncorhynchus nerka (sockeye salmon), 1750 nucleotides. RefSeq lists it as uncharacterized. Lineage: Eukaryota; Metazoa; Chordata; Actinopteri; Salmoniformes; Salmonidae. The transcript has 2 exons. The record is from RefSeq and is a predicted model, not a curated record.